UACGGGGGGAGCAAGCGUUGUUCGGAUUUACUGGGCGUAAAGGGCGCGUAGGCGGCACUGCAAGUCAGUUGUGAAAUCUCCGGGCUUAACCCGGAAAGGUCAACUGAUACUGCAGGGCUAGAGUGCAGAAGGGGCAACUGGAAUUCUCGGUGUAGCGGUGAAAUGCGUAGAUAUCGAGAGGAACACCUGCGGCGAAGGCGGGUAGCUGGGCCGACACUGACGCUGAUGCGCGAAAGCCAGGGGAGCGAACGGG
RNAcentral lists this ribosomal RNA (253 nucleotides) under uncultured bacterium. RNAcentral describes it as "partial 16S ribosomal RNA". It matches the Rfam family "Bacterial small subunit ribosomal RNA", at positions 524 to 776 of the family's 1533-position model. The record is from RNAcentral.